CAUUCUCCUGCCUCAGCCUCUCCGAGUAGCUGGGACUACAGGCGCCCGCCACCACGCCCGGCUAAUUUUUUGUAUCUUUAGUAGAGACGGGGUUUCACCGUGGUCUCGAUCUCCUGACCUCGUGAUCCGCCCGCCUCGGCCUCCCAAAGUGCUGGGAUUACAAGCGUGAGCCACCGCGCUCGGCCCCAAAUAUCUUUUUAAAACCUAACUCCAUUUCCCUCACCAGAUACCACCUGAUUUCACUGGUUCCUUGGCAGCAAAGCUUCUGGAAAGAUUAGUCUAUUUUUACUAACAUCAGUCCUUUCCCUCCCACCGCUAAAUCCCCUAUAGUCACUUUUUUUAUUUUUAUUUUAUUUUUUUUUUAGCUCUCAGAACUUUACUAAACUGCUCUUGAAAAGGUCUAAUGACCACGCUGCUAAACCCGACAGUUGUUUCUCAGUGUUCAUCCCAGCAUGGUAGCAGUUGGUUACCUCAUUUGAGAUGCGUUCUUUAAUUGGUUCUGAGACACUACACUGUGAAUUUUCCUCCUACCUCCCUGGCUGUUCCUUCCCAGGUUCCUCUGCUGAUCUCUUCUGUUUCCUGAUGUCUGAAUGUUGAAUUGCCCCAGUUCUCAGUGCUGAGUCCCUUUCUUUAUCAACACUUGGUGAUCUUAUCCAGUCUCAUAACUUUAAAUACUAUUUAUAUGCUGACAACUCCUAAAUUUAUAUAUUCAGCCCAGACAUCACCCUGACCUCCAGACUCAUAUAUCUAGUUGCCUACUUAACAGCUCUACUUGACUUGAACAGCACUAGCUGUUCUCAAGUUUGACAUGAUUGAAGGUGAAUUUCUGAUUUUCCUCUUCCCCACACCUGAUCCACCUACAUUCUUCCUGUUUUUUCACUUAGUCAAACCAAAAGCCAUGGAGUCUUCCUUGACUCUUCUUUUUCUUUCACAGUCCAGAAAUCAGUGGGUCCACAGUUAGAGCAUGUCCAGAAUCUACCUCUGUUAUCAUCUUUCUACAAACUACCAUCGUGAUUUUCAUUCAUUUCUUGCCUAGCUUAUUGUAAUUGACUAAGUGAGCGCCCUGCUUUCCCCCUUAUACCUUACAGACAAUUCUCAACACAAGCUAGAGUGAUCUUUCACAAACAUAAAUGAGAUCAUGCCACUACUGUCUCCAAACCCUGCAACACAGAUGCCAAUUUCUCUUGGAGUAAGGCUAAAGUUCUUCUAAUAACCCACUAGGCCCAAUAUGUUGUGGCUCCCAGUCACACACAUUACCUCGUCUGCUAUUCUCCUCAGUGGACUGUAGAUGAUCAUGUACAUGAUGCUCCUUAUACACAUCAGUCAUGGCCUGCUUCAGUGUCUCUGCACUGGCUUUUUCUCUGCCUGGAAUGCACUUCUCCAAGAUAUCCACAUGGCCUUCUCACUCAGCUUCUUCAAGUCUUUGUUCAAACAUCACUGUAUUAGUUAUUUACUGCUGUGUAACAAAGUACUCCAAGUCUUAGGAGCUAAAAACAAACAUCUAUUAUCUCAUUGUUUCUGGAGUCCGAAUUCCAAGUACAACUUAGCUGGGUGCCUCUGCCUCAAGGAUUCUCUGCAGUCAAGAUGUCCCCAGGGCUAUUGUCUCAUCUUUAAGCUCUACUGAGGGAGGACCCACCUUCAAGCCCACUCACAUGGUUGUUAGCAGGAUUCAGUUCUCCAUGGGCUCUUGAACUAAAGGCCCUAGUUCCAGGCCAGGCACAGUGGCUCACACCUGUAAUUUCAGCACUUUUGGAGACCAAGGCAGGUGGAUUGCUUGAGCUCAGGAGUUCAAGACCAGCCUGGGCAACAUGGCAAACCCCAUCUCUACAAAAAAUACAAAAAUUAGUCGGGUGUGAUUGCUUGCACCUGUAGUCCCAACUACUUGGGAGGCUGAGGUGGGAGGAUCUCUUGAGCCCAGGAGGUAGAGGUUGCAGUGAGCCAAGAUUGUGCCACUGCACUCCAGACUGGGUAACAGAGGGAGACCCUGUCUCAAAAAAAAAGAAAAAAAGAAAAGAAAAAGAAAAAAGAAAAAAAAGGACCCUCAUUGGCUGGGGCCCCCUUCAGUUCCUUGCCUCUGUGGAGGGACCUCUCCAUAGAGCAUCUCACAACAUGGUACCCAGCUUCCAUCAGAGCAAGUAAGCAAGGGCGUCCACAAAGGAAGACAAUCUCAUUAUAACUUAAUCUUGGAAAUUUCAUCUUGUCACUUUUGCCAUAUUCUUUUUGUUAGAAAGGAGUUACUGGGUCCAGCCUAUACUCAAAGAAAGAGGAUACACAAAGAAGCCCAGGAAAUUCAGACUAUUGGGGAACAUCAAAGAGGCUGCAUACCACAGCUGCCUUCUCAAUCAGCCAGUCCUCCAUCCUUCUGCUGGGAACUUGGAUGCUAGAGCUCUUGCAGCCACACUGGGCCAUGAAGAUAAAGGUCACUCCCUAGGAAUGAUAGAGCAGAAAGCUGGAAGGAACCUGGAUCCCUGAUCUCUGUGGAGCCACUGAACUGCCUCUAAUGAAGGAAAACAUUUCUCUCUCAUUUAUGUUGCAUGUUCUUUUCGAUUUCAUGUUAUGUUUAGUGGAGUAUAAUCCUAAUUUGAUACAAUUGCCAACUUUUAAAAAUUAGGAAAUUUCACACAAAUAUUCAGCUCUCUGGCUUUUCUCUUGAAAAUUUGGUGCAUCUGACAAAACUUGAGGUCAUGCUUCCCAUUGCAGCAACUGACCUGGGCAGGAUAAUGGAUGCCUGCUUCAGACAGGGCUGGAGACCUGGGGGAGGUGGAGUGCCCUGGGUUGAAGGAUUCUUGGUGAGUUAAAUACCCAUUAUUGUCUUUGGCUGUAAAUGAACUCAAGGUCGCUAGGAAGUGAGUGGAAAGUCAGAUGAACUCUGUCUCUCAGAGGCAGGCCAAGCGCAAAGAAGGCACAGAAGCCACUUCAAAACUGCUCAGGCCUUUUGGGAGGAAGUGGUGGGUAUGGAAUGAGGCUGACUUUCAAUGAUGAAGCUGUGACAGAUCAGAAAUCUGUAUUUUUGAGCCAGACUAUGUCUAUGUCUAGAUUUGCCUUUGUCUUUUUGUUGUCAGAAUUUCAUUAAACUAAUUAUUCGUUCA
Symphalangus syndactylus (siamang) is the source of this 3089-nucleotide long non-coding RNA. RefSeq lists it as uncharacterized. NCBI's taxonomy places the organism in Eukaryota, Metazoa, Chordata, Mammalia, Primates, Hylobatidae. The record is from RefSeq and is a predicted model, not a curated record.